Molecule: ribosomal RNA, 504 nt
Filed under: uncultured Acidobacteriaceae bacterium
Lineage: Bacteria; Pseudomonadati; Acidobacteriota; Terriglobia; Terriglobales; Acidobacteriaceae
Description: bacterial SSU rRNA
Rfam family: Bacterial small subunit ribosomal RNA
Source: RNAcentral
AGAGUUUGAUCAUGGCUCAGAAUCAACGCUGGCGGCGUGCCUAACACAUGCAAGUCGAACGCGAAAGUCCCGCAAGGGAUGAGUAGAGUGGCAAACGGGUGAGUAACGCGUGGGUGACCUGCCUUCGAGUGGGGGAUAACGUUCCGAAAGGGACGCUAAUACCGCAUGACAUCCUGCCUUUAAAGAGGUGGAGAUCAAAGCUGGGGAUCGCAAGACCUAGCGCUUGAAGAGGGGCCCGCGUCCGAUUAGCUAGUUGGUGGGGUAACGGCCUACCAAGGCCACGAUCGGUAGCCGGCCUGAGAGGGCGGACGGCCACACUGGGACUGAGACACGGCCCAGACUCCUACGGGAGGCAGCAGUGGGGAAUUGUUCGCAAUGGGCGCAAGCCUGACGACGCAACGCCGCGUGGAGGAUGAAGACCUUCGGGUCGUAAACUCCUUUCGAUCGAGACGAAUGGCCUUCGGCUGAAUAAUCCGGAGGAAUGACGGUACCGAGAGAGAGCCC